This 1300-nucleotide long non-coding RNA is filed under the name Paramuricea clavata. Lineage: Eukaryota; Metazoa; Cnidaria; Anthozoa; Malacalcyonacea; Plexauridae. The record is from RNAcentral.
UAUUGUAUCAAUUUGUCGGAGUAUGGCGCUCAAAUUUGUGACAUUGUUUUGUUCGCUUUGGCAACCCUCGUAUAUAUCAGAUGACCUCAGAUGCUGUUCGGCCUCAAAUGCGACUGAAUAAACACUGAUAGUGUUGCCUGGAAUAUGAAAUGAUAUUGAAUGAUUGUUCCGUAUAUCAAGGUACGUACUGUACAUUUAUACUGGAUUUAUUUUCACACGAGUUUCAAACUAUUUCAGCUUUAUGAACAAUGAGAUCACAUCACUAACAUACAGAAAGACUCCAUAUUUUCUCAUCAAAUCUGAUUAUCGUUACAAGUAACAGUAGAAAUGCUUCAAAAUUUAUUCUGUAUGUAAAGCAGGCCAGCAUGUUUCAUUUUCCUUUGGUGGUAGUCACCACUCACCAAGUCAAAUAGGCCAUUCCAUUUAAUAGCCCCCCCCCCCCUAUUGUCUAUUGAGGUCUGGAUAUCCUAUAUGAGGAUUUUAUAGAGGGGGUUUUUACCUUAAAUUUUUCUGGAGGGUAGCUUAAGAGAUUUCCUAAAAAUUAGGUGUUUUAGUGAUAUCCAAAGGGGCAGGAACAAUAUCCUAAAGGGGUAGAAAGACAUCCAUAGGGGUUCCAAAAUUGCAUCCAAUGGGGUUCCAAAAUUAUUAAAAGGUAUUAUGAAGAGACCCCUCAAUAGGGUGUGGGGGGGGGGGGCUAUAUUAGAUGGAAUGGCCCAGUGUGCUGCAACAACUUUUAAAAUUUGUAUAUAUGUUUUUAAGGCACAAUAUGUGAUGGAGUUUGAUAUGAUGAUCAGCACAACCUGAAGGUCUUGACUGAAUGAACAACUUAUCUGAUAUACUCCUACUUCCAAUACUUUGCUGUAUAUUAUCACCAGCUCAGAUGUCAGUUGGAUCACUUUGAAUGAACAUUGGAGUGGCACAAUAAAGUGUCUGUAUUAGGGAGGAGUCUAUAAGGACUGAAGUAAAAGGCACACUUUUGGAUAUUAAUCUGAAUCAUAGCAACUACAUAUACUGUAGGUUUCAAAUUAGUUUGAACAAUGAACAACUGAAAAUAGAAAUUUAUUUAAUUGGAAACACUUAAAGGAAUUACAACAUAUUAUAUGAUAGUCAUAUGUACAUGAUUAUAGGUAUAUUCAUUAGUUUUACUAGCUGAUAUUUAUGACUAUCCUGGGACAACAUUUUAUUUUUCCCAAGAGAUUUUACUUGCAUGAUAGUAAUAAGUUUAAUAGUAACAGAGAAGUGUGAUGGAUAUGUGCAAGUAAUUAUCAUUAGAAAUACAAAGAUUAAACUGUAAUUUUGA